UGGCUUAUGAUGAUCAUAUAAUUAUCUUAGCGGAUUUCAGUGAGAUUUCUAUCAAUGAUCUGAUUGUUACACACACUGAAGCCU
Molecule: non-coding RNA, 84 nt
Organism: Glycine max (soybean)
Lineage: Eukaryota; Viridiplantae; Streptophyta; Magnoliopsida; Fabales; Fabaceae
Source: Rfam